ACCACGAUUCUCCACCCUGAACACUGGUGGGGCUGAAAAAUCUCACUCGAUUGCUUCUUUUUCAUCCAGUUUCCCCCUCACCAAAAAAAACCCCUCUUAUUAUCCACUCAAAAUUAAUCAAAAAAAACCCCUAUAUUAUUAUACAAGAAUUGAAGGUGAAAACCUUCUUUGGCUUCUGGUUUUGAUCCCACUUUAACUGUCUACUGAAAUGCCUCACGCGGCUACCGAAGCCCAAGUUGAGGAUGGCGGCUCUGCUUCUAAGCCAUAGCGCAUCAUCAAACUAAUCAAAACUACCGACGAUAGCGACAAAAAGGGUACAAACAGGAGAGUUAAAGAUAUUAAGCUUUGUGUUCCAAUUGCUUAUGGAACUAUUGCUUUUUAUCUUGGUCGAAAGGCUAGUGAUUCGCAGUCACAUAAGUGGAUUGUUUAUGUGCGUGGGGAGACAAAUGAAGAUCUUGGAGCAGUGAUAAAGCAUGUUGUGUUUCAAC
Long non-coding RNA from Hibiscus syriacus, 488 nucleotides. RefSeq lists it as uncharacterized. The transcript has 3 exons. Lineage: Eukaryota; Viridiplantae; Streptophyta; Magnoliopsida; Malvales; Malvaceae. The record is from RefSeq and is a predicted model, not a curated record.